RNAcentral lists this ribosomal RNA (305 nucleotides) under uncultured bacterium. RNAcentral describes it as "bacterial SSU rRNA". It matches the Rfam family "Bacterial small subunit ribosomal RNA", at positions 333 to 655 of the family's 1533-position model. The record is from RNAcentral.
GGGGUCCUACGGGAGGCAGCAGUAGGGAAUCUUUCACAAUGGGCGAAAGCCUGAUGGAGCAACGCCGCGUGCAGGAUGAAGUAUUUCGGUAUGUAAAGCUCUAUCAGCAGGGAAGAGAAUGACGGUACCUGACUAAGAAGCCCCGGCUAACUACGUGCCAGCAGCCGCGGUAAUACGUAGGGGGCGAGCGUUAUCCGGAUUUACUGGGUGUAAAGGGAGCGUAGACGGUUCUGCGAGUCUGAAGUGAAAGCCCGUGGCUUAACCGCGGAACGGCUUUGGAAACUGUGGAACUGGAGUGCUGGAGA